RNAcentral lists this ribosomal RNA (1346 nucleotides) under uncultured bacterium. RNAcentral's name for it is "partial 16S ribosomal RNA". It matches the Rfam family "Bacterial small subunit ribosomal RNA", at positions 28 to 1381 of the family's 1533-position model. The record is from RNAcentral.
GACGAACCUUGGCGGCGUGCUUAACACAUGCAAGUCGAACGGAAAGGCCCUGCUUUUGUGGGGUGCUCGAGUGGCGAACGGGUGAGUAACACGUGAGUAACCUGCCCUUGACUUUGGGAUAACUUCAGGAAACUGGGGCUAAUACCGGAUAGGAGCUCCUGCUGCAUGGUGGGGGUUGGAAAGUUUCGGCGGUUGGGGAUGGACUCGCGGCUUAUCAGCUUGUUGGUGGGGUAGUGGCUUACCAAGGCUUUGACGGGUAGCCGGCCUGAGAGGGUGACCGGCCACAUUGGGACUGAGAUACGGCCCAGACUCCUACGGGAGGCAGCAGCGGGGAAUAUUGCACAAUGGGCGGAAGCCUGAUGCAGCAACGCCGCGUGCGGGAUGACGGCCUUCGGGUUGUAAACCGCUUUCGCCUGUGACGAAGCGUGAGUGACGGUAAUGGGUAAAGAAGCACCGGCUAACUACGUGCCAGCAGCCGCGGUGAUACGUAGGGUGCGAGCGUUGUCCGGAUUUAUUGGGCGUAAAGGGCUCGUAGGUGGUUGAUCGCGUCGAAAGUGUAAUCUUGGGGCUUAACCCUGAGCGUGCUUUCGAUACGGGUUGACUUGAGGAAGGUAGGGGAGAAUGGAAUUCCUGGUGGAGCGGUGGAAUGCGCAGAUAUCAGGAGGAACACCAGUGGCGAAGGCGGUUCUCUGGGCCUUUCCUGACGCUGAGGAGCGAAAGCGUGGGGAGCGAACAGGCUUAGAUACCCUGGUAGUCCACGCUGUAAACGGUGGGUACUAGGUGUGGGGUCCAUUCCACGGGUUCCGUGCCGUAGCUAACGCUUUAAGUACCCCGCCUGGGGAGUACGGCCGCAAGGCUAAAACUCAAAGGAAUUGACGGGGCCCCGCACAAGCGGCGGAGCAUGCGGAUUAAUUCGAUGCAACGCGUAGAACCUUACCUGGGUUUGACAUGGAUCGGGAGUGCUCAGAGAUGGGUGUGCCUCUUUUGGGGUCGGUUCACAGGUGGUGCAUGCCUGUCGUCAGCUCGUGUCGUGAGAUGUUGGGUUAAGUCCCGCAACGAGCGCAACCCUUGUUCACUGUUGCCAGCACGUUAUGGUGGGGACUCAGUGGAGACCGCCGGGGUCAACUCGGAGGAAGGUGGGGAUGACGUCAAGUCAUCAUGCCCCUUAUGUCCAGGGCUUCACGCAUGCUACAAUGGCUGGUACAGAGAGUGGCGAGCCUGUGAGGGUGAGCGAAUCUCGGAAAGCCGGCCUCAGUUCGGAUUGGGGUCUGCAACUCGACCUCAUGAAGUCGGAGUCGCUAGUAAUCGCAGAUCAGCAACGCUGCGGUGAAUACGUUCCCGGGGCU